CCUACGGGUGGCAGCAGUGGGGAAUAUUGGACAAUGGGCGAAAGCCUGAUCCAGCCAUGCCGCGUGUGUGAAGAAGGCCUUCGGGUUGUAAAGCACUUUCAGUGGGGAAGAAAGCCUUGGGGCUAAUACCCUCGAGGAAGGACAUCACCCACAGAAGAAGCACCGGCUAACUCCGUGCCAGCAGCCGCGGUAAUACGGAGGGUGCGAGCGUUAAUCGGAAUUACUGGGCGUAAAGCGCGCGUAGGCGGUCUGAUAAGCCGGUUGUGAAAGCCCCGGGCUCAACCUGGGAACGGCAUCCGGAACUGUCAGGCUAGAGUUCAGGAGAGGAAGGUAGAAUUCCCGGUGUAGCGGUGAAAUGCGUAGAGAUCGGGAGGAAUACCAGUGGCGAAGGCGGCCUUCUGGACUGACACUGACGCUGAGGUGCGAAAGCGUGGGUAGCAAACAGGAUUAGAUACCCCAGUAGUC
Molecule: ribosomal RNA, 465 nt
Filed under: Vreelandella stevensii
Lineage: Bacteria; Pseudomonadati; Pseudomonadota; Gammaproteobacteria; Oceanospirillales; Halomonadaceae
Description: partial 16S ribosomal RNA
Rfam family: Bacterial small subunit ribosomal RNA
Source: RNAcentral